UAGGGAAUCUUCGGCAAUGGACGAAAGUCUGACCGAGCAACGCCGCGUGAGUGAAGAAGGUUUUCGGAUCGUAAAACUCUGUUGUUAGAGAAGAACAAGGACGUUAGUAACUGAACGUCCCCUGACGGUAUCUAACCAGAAAGCCACGGCUAACUACGUGCCAGCAGCCGCGGUAAUACGUAGGUGGCAAGCGUUGUCCGGAUUUAUUGGGCGUAAAGCGAGCGCAGGCGGUUUCUUAAGUCUGAUGUGAAAGCCCCCGGCACAACCGGGGAGGGUCAUUGGAAACUGGGAGACUUGAGUGCAGAAGAGGAGAGUGGAAUUCCAUGUGUAGCGGUGAAAUGCGUAGAUAUAUGGAGGAACACCAGUGGCGAAGGCGGCUCUCUGGUCUGUAACUGACGCUGAGGCUCGAAAGCGUGGGGAGCAAACAGG
RNAcentral lists this ribosomal RNA (429 nucleotides) under Gemmatimonadota bacterium. RNAcentral's name for it is "Gemmatimonadetes bacterium partial 16S ribosomal RNA". It matches the Rfam family "Bacterial small subunit ribosomal RNA", at positions 355 to 776 of the family's 1533-position model. The record is from RNAcentral. Lineage: Bacteria; Pseudomonadati; Gemmatimonadota.